GAUGAACGCUGGCGGUGUGCCUAAUACAUGCAAGUCGAACGAACAGACGAGGAGCUUGCUCCUCUGACGUUACCGGCGGUCGGGUGAGUAACACGUGGAUAACCUACCUAUAAGAAUGGGAUAACUCCGGGAAACCGAAGCUAAUGCCGGAUAAUAUAUUCAACCGCAUGGUUCAAUCGAGAAAGACGGUUUUGCUGACAAUUAUAGAUGGAUCCGCGCCGCAUUAGCUAGUUGGUAAGUUAACGGCUUACCAAGGCGACGAUGCGUAGCCGACCUGAGAGGGUGAUCGGCCACACUGGAACGGAGACACGGUCCAGACUCCUACGGGAGGCAGCAGUAGGGAAUCUGCCGCAAUGGGCGAGAGCCUGACGGAGCAACGCCGCGUGAGUGAUGAAGAUCUUCGGAUCGUAAAACUCUGUUAUUAGGGAAGAACAAAUGUGUAAGUAACUAUGCACGUCUUGACGGUACCUAAUCAGAAAGCCACGGCUAACUACGUG
Molecule: ribosomal RNA, 497 nt
Filed under: uncultured bacterium
Lineage: Bacteria
Description: partial 16S ribosomal RNA
Rfam family: Bacterial small subunit ribosomal RNA
Source: RNAcentral